UAUUGCACAAUGGGGGAAACCCUGACGCAGUGACGCCGCGUGCAGGAAGAAGGUUUUCGGAUUGUAAACUGCUUUAGACAGGGUAGAAAGAGAUGACGGUACCUGUAGAAUAAGCUCCGGCUAACUACGUGCCAGCAGCCGCGGUAAUACGUAGGGAGCAAGCGUUAUCCGGAUUUAUUGGGUGUAAAGGGCGCGUAGACGGGUAUACAAGUUAGUAGUGAAAUCCCUCGGCUUAACUGAGGAACUGCUACUAAAACUAUAUAUCUUGAGUACUGGAGGGGAAAGCGGAAUUCCUAGUGUAGCGGUGAAAUGCGUAGAUAUUAGGAAGAACACCGGUGGCGAAGGCGGCUUUCUGGACAGAAACUGACGUUGAGGCACGAAAGUGUGGGGAGCAAACAGG
Molecule: ribosomal RNA, 400 nt
Filed under: uncultured bacterium
Lineage: Bacteria
Description: bacterial SSU rRNA
Rfam family: Bacterial small subunit ribosomal RNA
Source: RNAcentral